UCAUUCCAGACCUGAUCAUGACAGAUGCACAGCAUCUAAUGUUGAGUUGACUGAACCUUUAUAUGAGAAUGUAACGAUGAAUCAUUCCAGACCUUGUGAUGUUGAGAUGACUGAACCUGUGUAUGAGAAUACAAUGCAUGACAAGCCGUAGUGUUUGGGACACGUGGCAAAACAAUUCACAGCCUUUUUCGUCUCUCUGUGGGUGGAGCCCUGAAUGAUUGACAGUAGUGUCUUGAUUUACAGAAAUGAAUUUACCAAUUGGUUUUAUCCAGAGACACUUGCA
Molecule: long non-coding RNA, 283 nt
Organism: Sinocyclocheilus anshuiensis
Lineage: Eukaryota; Metazoa; Chordata; Actinopteri; Cypriniformes; Cyprinidae
Exons: 3
Source: RefSeq, a predicted model, not a curated record